Molecule: small RNA, 1186 nt
Filed under: Histoplasma capsulatum var. duboisii H88
Lineage: Eukaryota; Fungi; Ascomycota; Eurotiomycetes; Onygenales; Ajellomycetaceae
Description: Histoplasma capsulatum H88 hypothetical RNA
Source: RNAcentral
UAUCAGGGAGAUUCCGCUAUCAGCCAGUCUCCGACGCCCUUCAAUUACCAUGAACUGAGUGCAUCUCUCUCGUGCGGGGUGGAUGAUCCCUUGCUCCUAACAGAAAAUGACUCCGAUUGGCUUUUGAAUUCAUCAAAACUAGAUACUCUUACAGGGGGAAUUCCCCAAGUCGCCAACCUGGCGGACUUCCGUAGUUCAUCUUGGACUACCUCCCCGGUUCCAAUUUCAGCACCCAAUUUCUCGGAAUGUUUAUCAAAUCCCAAUUCGCCUAGUGACUGGAACUGCAAGGGAGAUACAAACACGCCUGUGUACAAGCUCUCAAAGCUCCAUCUGGAACUAGAUGAUCUUCUCAGCAUUCCAACAAACUGCAAAGGCACGGUGCAUCCAAAUGAUAUAAUGUCCUCUCCCAGCAGCCCUUUUCCCAAGACUGCCGCAUCCACUCCCACCACUCCGACUGCUGCAGUCGACGAGAUUUUCUUGCUAAGCGAAAACCUCAUCGAAAUAAUGCAAGAGCUAUACCAAGAAGCAAGUACGGCAGCGUACCCGUCUCUUCACAUUUAUCCUUACAUGCCCCACGCCUCAUCAUUACGACGGAGAUGCUCAUAUAAUUCACAACAGAGUCACUUGGGCGGACAGCAACAAGAACCAGCAACUGCCCUCAUUACACUUACCUGUUAUCUCCGCCUUCUUGGGAUUUACGAGACGCUCGUAAUACCCCUUUACCAAUAUUUUCAGCAACACCAGAAAGAGCUCGAUACUCAUCCAAAUGCCCCGUUUCCUUUGCCAUUGCCUCUCCCUAUCCCAUCUCUCCCAACUUUCAAGUUGGGUCGAUACGAGCCAACUACUACCUCCGCUGUGAGCCUGGGUCUCCUCCUCCAUCUCCUUUUACGGACUCUUGAGUGUUUACAUACCACCCUUGGCCUAUACCUUCCUACAACCUCACUUAGCCCCCACAGUCUUUGGGCAUAUGACGGGCGUCCUCCGGCUUCCGCUACAAAUUCGCCAACCUCAGCCUCAGAUUAUGUCGAGGCAGGAUCGAUAUCGCCAAUGGCGGACAACUACCAGCACGAUGAAUUUCGUGUGUCACCGGACUCGUGUAGUCAUGUAACGUUACUUACUGAGUCCGCGUUGAGCGAGGCGGGGAGACGUGAGAGGUAUUUGACAGGUCUCUUGUAUUCAGCGAUGG